This 438-nucleotide ribosomal RNA is filed under the name uncultured bacterium. RNAcentral describes it as "bacterial SSU rRNA". It matches the Rfam family "Bacterial small subunit ribosomal RNA", at positions 28 to 507 of the family's 1533-position model. The record is from RNAcentral.
GAUGAACGCUGGCGGUAUGCUUUACACAUGCAAGUCGUACGAGAGUUUUUAACUCAAGUGGCGGACGGGUGAGUAACACGUAAGAAUUUGCCUUUAGGAGGGGGAUAACAACUGGAAACGGUUGCUAAUACCCCAUAUGCUUUCGAGUGAAACGGUAUUUCCGCCUAAAGAGAAGCUUGCGCCUGAUUAGCUUGUUGGUGAGGUAAUGGCUCACCAAGGCGACGAUCAGUAUCUGGUUUGAGAGGACGAUCAGACACACUGGAACUGAGACACGGUCCAGACUCCUACGGGAGGCAGCAGUGGGGAAUUUUCCGCAAUGGGCGAAAGCCUGACGGAGCAAUACCGCGUGAGGGAUGACGGCCUAUGGGUUGUAAACCUCUUUUUCAGGGAGGAACAAAAUGACGUGUACCUGAAGAAUAAGCAUCGGCUAACUCCGUG